UACAGAGGUGGCAAGCGUUGUUCGGAAUUACUGGGCGUAAAGGGCGCGUAGGCGGCCUUCUAAGUCAGACGUGAAAUCCCCAGGCUUAACUUGGGAACUGCGUCUGAUACUGGGAGGCUUGAAUGCGGGAGAGGGAUGUGGAAUUCCUGGUGUAGCGGUGGAAUGCGUAGAUAUCAGGAAGAACACCGGUGGCGAAGGCGGCUCGCUGGGCCAGUUCUGACACUCAUCCGCGAAAGCGUGGGGAGCAAACAGG
RNAcentral lists this ribosomal RNA (253 nucleotides) under uncultured bacterium. RNAcentral's name for it is "partial 16S ribosomal RNA". It matches the Rfam family "Bacterial small subunit ribosomal RNA", at positions 524 to 776 of the family's 1533-position model. The record is from RNAcentral.